GUGUCUUUAGUUUAUUCGGUAAAAUGCUUCACUGUGAAUGAAGAGAACAGGGUUCGAUUCCCGAAGACACC
RNAcentral lists this transfer RNA (71 nucleotides) under Flavobacteriaceae bacterium. Its description in RNAcentral is "tRNA-His". It matches the Rfam family "tRNA". Rfam says of the family: Transfer RNA (tRNA) molecules are approximately 80 nucleotides in length. Lineage: Bacteria; Pseudomonadati; Bacteroidota; Flavobacteriia; Flavobacteriales; Flavobacteriaceae. The record is from RNAcentral.